GAUGAACGCUAGCGGCAGGCCUAAUACAUGCAAGUCGAGGGGUAGUGGUUGCUUGCAACCAUGAGACCGGCGCACGGGUGCGUAACGCGUAUGCAACCUACCUUCAUCUGGGGGAUAGCCCGAAGAAAUUCGGAUUAACACCGCAUAAAAUCACAGUACCGCAUGUACAAUGAUCAAACAUUCAUGGGAUGGAGAUGGGC
RNAcentral lists this ribosomal RNA (200 nucleotides) under uncultured bacterium. Its description in RNAcentral is "partial 16S ribosomal RNA". It matches the Rfam family "Bacterial small subunit ribosomal RNA", at positions 28 to 230 of the family's 1533-position model. The record is from RNAcentral.